Molecule: non-coding RNA, 29 nt
Filed under: Homo sapiens (human)
Lineage: Eukaryota; Metazoa; Chordata; Mammalia; Primates; Hominidae
Source: RNAcentral
GCAGAACCUUAUCCGUGGAUCAGUUUGGC